RNAcentral lists this ribosomal RNA (504 nucleotides) under uncultured bacterium. Its description in RNAcentral is "bacterial SSU rRNA". It matches the Rfam family "Bacterial small subunit ribosomal RNA", at positions 29 to 524 of the family's 1533-position model. The record is from RNAcentral.
AGUGAACGCUGGCGGCAGGCCUAAUACAUGCAAGUCGAACGGCAGCACAGCAGAGCUUGCUCUGUGGGUGGCGAGUGGCGGACGGGUGAGGAAUACGUGGGAAUCUGCCCAGUCGUGGGGAUAACGUAGGGAAACUUACGCUAAUACCGCAUGCGCCCUUCGGGGAAAGCCGGGGACCUUCGGGCCUGGCGCGAUUGGGUGAGCCCACGUCGGAUUAGCUAGUUGGCGGGGUAAAGGCCCACCAAGGCGACGAUCCGUAGCUGGUCUGAGAGGAUGAUCAGCCACACUGGAACUGAGACACGGUCCAGACUCCUACGGGAGGUAGCAGUAGGGAAUAUUGGACAAUGGGCGCAAGCCUGAUCCAGCCAUGCCGCGUGAGUGAAGAAGGCCCUCGGGUUGUAAAGCUCUUUUGUCCGGAAAGAAAGCGCCGGGUUAAUACCCUGGUGUCCUGACGGUACCGGAAGAAUAAGCACCGGCUAACUUCGUGCCAGCAGCCGCGGUAAU